RNAcentral lists this ribosomal RNA (497 nucleotides) under uncultured bacterium. RNAcentral's name for it is "partial 16S ribosomal RNA". It matches the Rfam family "Bacterial small subunit ribosomal RNA", at positions 28 to 507 of the family's 1533-position model. The record is from RNAcentral.
GACGAACGCUGGCGGCGUGCCUAAUACAUGCAAGUUGAGCGAUGAAGAUUGGUGCUUGCACCAAUUUGAAGAGCAGCGAACGGGUGAGUAACGCGUGGGGAAUCUGCCUUUGAGCGGGGGACAACAUUUGGAAACGAAUGCUAAUACCGCAUAACAACUUUAAACAUAAGUUUUAAGGUUGAAAGAUGCAAUUGCAUCACUCAAAGAUGAUCCCGCGUUGUAUUAGCUAGUUGGUGAGGUAAAGGCUCACCAAGGCGAUGAUACAUAGCCGACCUGAGAGGGUGAGCGGCCACAAUGGGACUGAGACACGGCCCAAACUCCUACAGGAGGCAGCAGUAGGGAAUCUUCGGCAAUGGACGAAAGUCUGACCGAGCAACGCCGCGUGAGUGAAGAAGGUUUUCGGAUCGUAAAACUCUGUUGGUAGAGAAGAACGUUGGUGAGAGUGGAAAGCUCAUCAAGUGACGGUAACUACGCAGAAAGGGACGGCUAACUACGUG